UACGAAGGGGGCUAGCGUUGUCCGGAAUCACUGGGCGUAAAGCGCACGUAGGCGGAUCUUUAAGUCAGGGGUGAAAUCCUGGAGCUCGACUCCAGAACUGCCUUUGAUACUGGGGAUCUCGAGUCCGGGAGAGGUGAGUGGAACUGCGAGUGUAGAGGUGAAAUUCGUAGAUAUUCGCAAGAACACCAGUGGCGAAGGCGGCUCACUGGCCCGGUACUGACGCUGAGGUGCGAAAGCGUGGGGAGCAAACAGG
This 253-nucleotide ribosomal RNA is filed under the name uncultured bacterium. RNAcentral describes it as "partial 16S ribosomal RNA". It matches the Rfam family "Bacterial small subunit ribosomal RNA", at positions 524 to 776 of the family's 1533-position model. The record is from RNAcentral.